Molecule: ribosomal RNA, 301 nt
Filed under: uncultured bacterium
Lineage: Bacteria
Description: partial 16S ribosomal RNA
Rfam family: Bacterial small subunit ribosomal RNA
Source: RNAcentral
CAGUCGCCACGGUAAUACGAAGGGGGCUAGCGUUGUUCGGAAUUACUGGGCGUAAAGCGUGCGUAGGCGGUUUGUUAAGUCUGCUGUGAAAUCCCCGGGCUCAACCUGGGAAUGGCAGUGGAUACUGGCAAGCUAGAGUGUGUCAGAGGAUGGUGGAAUUCCCGGUGUAGCGGUGAAAUGCGUAGAGAUCGGGAGGAACAUCAGUGGCGAAGGCGGCCAUCUGGGACAACACUGACGCUGAGGCACGAAAGCGUGGGGAGCAAACAGGAUUAGAUACCCCUGUAGUCCCUGUCUCUUAUAC